CCUUUAUCCAGAGCGGUGCAGGGAACUGGCCCGAUAACCACCGCAGCAACCGGCCCUCAUUACGGCCACGGUGCUCCGCCAGCCCGCGUGAAUCACGAUGUGAAGCGACGGGAACGAUAAGGG
Molecule: non-coding RNA, 123 nt
Filed under: Deinococcus proteolyticus
Lineage: Bacteria; Thermotogati; Deinococcota; Deinococci; Deinococcales; Deinococcaceae
Also listed under: 1 other name
Description: SAM-I sequence
Rfam family: SAM riboswitch aptamer (S box leader)
About the family: The SAM riboswitch is found upstream of a number of genes which code for proteins involved in methionine or cysteine biosynthesis in Gram-positive bacteria. The SAM riboswitch acts at the level of transcription termination control.
Source: RNAcentral